GGUAGGGUCAAUGAUCAGGGUAAAGUCGUAACAAGGCAUCCGUAGCGGAAGCUGUGGAUGGAUCACCUCCUUUCUGGAGA
RNAcentral lists this ribosomal RNA (80 nucleotides) under Candidatus Magasanikiibacteriota bacterium. RNAcentral's name for it is "Candidatus Magasanikbacteria bacterium partial 16S ribosomal RNA". It matches the Rfam family "Bacterial small subunit ribosomal RNA", at positions 1461 to 1533 of the family's 1533-position model. Lineage: Bacteria; Candidatus Magasanikiibacteriota. The record is from RNAcentral.